This 460-nucleotide ribosomal RNA is filed under the name uncultured bacterium. RNAcentral's name for it is "partial 16S ribosomal RNA". It matches the Rfam family "Bacterial small subunit ribosomal RNA", at positions 338 to 795 of the family's 1533-position model. The record is from RNAcentral.
CCUACGGGAGGCAGCAGUGAGGAAUAUUGGUCAAUGGCCGUAAGGCUGAACCAGCCAAGUCGCGUGAAGGAAGAAGGAUCUAUGGUUUGUAAACUUCUUUUAUAGGGGAAUAAAGGUAUCCACGUGUGGAUCUUUGCAUGUACCCUAUGAAUAAGCAUCGGCUAACUCCGUGCCAGCAGCCGCGGUAAUACGGAGGAUGCGAGCGUUAUCCGGAUUUAUUGGGGUUAAAGGGUGCGUAGGUUGUUUUUUAAGUCAGCGGUGAAAGUUUGUGGCUCAACCAUAAAAUUGCCGUUGAAACUGGAAGACUUGAGUGUGUUUGAGGUAGGCGGAAUGCGUGGUGUAGCGGUGAAAUGCAUAGAUAUCACGCAGAACUCCGAUUGCGAAGGCAGCUUACUAAGCCAUAACUGACACUGAAGCACGAAAGCGUGGGGAUCAAACAGGAUUAGAUACCCGGGUAGUC